Molecule: small RNA, 1571 nt
Filed under: Pongo abelii (Sumatran orangutan)
Lineage: Eukaryota; Metazoa; Chordata; Mammalia; Primates; Hominidae
Description: processed transcript
Source: RNAcentral
AUUGGAAGGUCGUUUUUAAGCUUGAGAACGGUAAUAGACAUCCAGGUGGAGAUGACUAGGCGGCAGAUGAGUCCGGAGUUCAGGGCAGCUCUCCAUCGAUAUUUCUAGCUCGCUUUGUCUACAGUCAUGAGCAGUUGAACAUCAGAUACUCAGAGUGACAUCAGGUUAAAAAAAAAGCCUGCAAUUUGGAUCUUUUCCUGCCUCAGAAGCAAGGAAAAUGGACAAUUGAUAAUCAAAGGCUAAAUCUAUUCUGGGAUCCACUGAAUGCCACUAGCGGGUCUGCUCGAGAGAAUUCCUGAUUGAAUGACAACGGCGCUAAGAACAUCUCGAUGCAGACUAUCCACCUGCAUAAGAAACGGGCGAUGGUGACAGAAGGAAAAAAAAGAACAAAGCCCUGUCGGGUGCCCCAGUGGGAGAAUUGGUCACCAUGAGAAGGGACCACAGACUGGCAGCUGAAACAACAGAAAUUGAUGUCCUGACAGUUCUGGAGGCUGAAGUCCGAGAUUGAGGUGUAGGCAGGGAAAAAUGAUUAAGAUCCUGUGUGCUUUGUCUUAGGAUUUUCUGAUUAUUUUUUUCUCUUUCAAAAGACUACAAAUUGGAGAAGUUUCAGAAGCUUUUCCAUUCCGUGAGGAUCUUUUAUUUUCUUUUAUCUGUCCCCAACAGCCUCUUUUUUUCUUCUUCUCAUUAUUUCUGACCAGAUAGGCUCUCUGUGCCUGUCUUUUGUUGGGAAAGAAACCUCUAACACAAGUUGCAGUUCCAUGUUCCCGGGGAGCAUUUCAGUGGUAACUGCAGUCAUUAUAGGGGUGUUGUCUAAGAACCUGCCUAGCUGCAAUGAUCCUGCUGAUUGUGUUAUCUCUUUAAACAAUGCGGUAGACGUUAGAAUGGGCUAAUGAUUUAUUUUCCCAUUCUGGUAAGUUUUACAAGUGCUUCUUUCAUAAUAGGAGAGUCUUUUUUAAACGGGGGUAAUUUAGAUUUGUUUGUUCUUGGAAGGAGGGUGGGGCAUGAGGAAUGCCGUAAUCUUACAUUAUGGUAUUAAUCAUUCUGUGUUCAGUUUGUUCUUUUACAGGUUUAAUCUUGCAUUCAGUUUUGAUAGAGAACAUAAAGCAUUUUUUUAACCUAGUGAUGUCUCAGGUAGCGGUGGUACUUGAGAUGGCUCAUUUUGUACAUUACUUCAUGGAAAAUAGAUUCUUGGCACCCCCAACAACUAGUGUGAGCUGGCAAGCCACAGAUCCUUGGAGGUUUAGCUGCUUCCGCUGUUAAAAGCAGAUACUGACACAUAGUGAGUACCCCAGGCAAAUGAGCUUUAUUUGGGGAAUGUUGAAUUUAGGGUCUUGUUAGAACAUACAAAUAAAUUUGUCCUUAUGGCACUGUUUUGAGAUUAUAUAAGUACCUGGCAUAAUUAAGUAAUGGCAAUCACUCUAAUUAUCAUUAUUAAUUCAAGGUACCUUUUUCUUUUUCCUGACGGAUAACCCUUACAUUAUUACAAAUACUAAAUUAAUGAGUAAGAAACAAAUGUGCAUGUAAUUUUGCUUUGAAAUUUCAAAUAAGGAAAAAUAAAUCUAAAAAACAAA